RNAcentral lists this ribosomal RNA (274 nucleotides) under uncultured bacterium. Its description in RNAcentral is "partial 16S ribosomal RNA". It matches the Rfam family "Bacterial small subunit ribosomal RNA", at positions 523 to 796 of the family's 1533-position model. The record is from RNAcentral.
AUACGGAGGGUGCGAGCGUUAAUCGGAAUUACUGGGCGUAAAGCGCUCGUAGGCGGCUUGUUAAGUCGGAUGUGAAAGCCCCGGGCUCAACCUAGGAAUUGCAUUCGAUACUGGAUAUCUAGAGUAUGGUAGAGGGAAGUGGAAUUUCCGGUGUAGCGGUGAAAUGCGUAGAUAUCGGAAGGAACGUCAGUGGCGAAGGCGACUUCCUGGACUAAUACUGACACUGAGGUGCGAAAGCGUGGGGAGCAAACAGGAUUAGAAACCCCGGUAGUCC